Molecule: ribosomal RNA, 498 nt
Filed under: uncultured bacterium
Lineage: Bacteria
Description: partial 16S ribosomal RNA
Rfam family: Bacterial small subunit ribosomal RNA
Source: RNAcentral
GGAUGAACGCUGGCGGCGUGCCUAAUACAUGCAAGUCGAGCGAACGGACGAGAAGCUUGCUUUUCUGAUGUUAGCGGCGGACGGGUGAGUAACACGUGGAUAACCUACCUAUAAGACUGGGAUAACUUCGGGAAACCGGAGCUAAUACCGGAUAAUAUUUUGAACCGCAUGGUUCAAAAGUGAAAGACGGUCUUGCUGUCACUUAUAGAUGGAUCCGCGCUGCAUUAGCUAGUUGGUAAGGUAACGGCUUACCAAGGCAACGAUGCAUAGCCGACCUGAGAGGGUGAUCGGCCACACUGGAACUGAGACACGGUCCAGACUCCUACGGGAGGCAGCAGUAGGGAAUCUUCCGCAAUGGGCGAAAGCCUGACGGAGCAACGCCGCGUGAGUGAUGAAGGUCUUCGGAUCGUAAAACUCUGUUAUUAGGGAAGAACAUAUGUGUAAGUAACUGUGCACAUCUUGACGGUACCUAAUCAGAAAGCCACGGCUAACUACGUG